AGCAGCCGCGGUAAUUCCAGCUCCAAUAGCGUAUAUUAAAGUUGUUGCAGUUAAAAAGCUCGUAGUUGAAUUUCGGGGUCAGUAGGUUGGUCGUGCCACUGGUAUGUACUGGCUUCACUGAUUCCUCCCUCUUGUAGAACCGUAAUGCCAUUAAGUUGGUGUUGCGGGGAAACAGGACUGUUACUUUGAAAAAAUUAGAGUGUUUAAAGCAGGCUAACGCUUGAAUACAUUAGCAUGGAAUAAUGAAAUAGGACGAUCGAUCCUAUUUUGUUGGUUUCUUAGGAUUGACGUAAUGAUUAAUAGGGAUAGUUGGGGGNGCAUUAGAUUCAAUUGUCAGAGGUGAAAUUCUUGGAUU
This 355-nucleotide ribosomal RNA is filed under the name uncultured Glomus. Its description in RNAcentral is "SSU rRNA". It matches the Rfam family "Eukaryotic small subunit ribosomal RNA", at positions 569 to 926 of the family's 1831-position model. Lineage: Eukaryota; Fungi; Glomeromycota; Glomeromycetes; Glomerales; Glomeraceae. The record is from RNAcentral.